Silurus meridionalis is the source of this 359-nucleotide long non-coding RNA. RefSeq lists it as uncharacterized. NCBI's taxonomy places the organism in Eukaryota, Metazoa, Chordata, Actinopteri, Siluriformes, Siluridae. The transcript is spliced from 3 exons. The record is from RefSeq and is a predicted model, not a curated record.
CAAACUCGGAGAUUAGAGCUAAUGGAGUCCAGGCGGAAUUUUCAAAUGUUCAACUUUUUAAAAAGGGUUAAACUCAGAUGACUAAAACAGAGCACAAGGAAAGAAAACAACCGGCAGGGGAUGCCGAACCUUUACACAGGAACAUGCGCGCGCGCACAAACAAACGUUUACACAUAAAAUGUCCCCACUGUGGUACAAAUAAAGGUAUAUCUUAUCAGAACAUGCUGCCAUCCAAUUCUAAAGCCCAAGUAAGUUCAAUCAUAUGAAAAACACAGUAUAAACAAUUUAGCAUUUUAUUUUAAUUAGCAUUUCAAAAAAAACUGCCACUGGUGACUUGCUUCACUUCGACAGGUGCCUUC